RNAcentral lists this ribosomal RNA (252 nucleotides) under uncultured bacterium. Its description in RNAcentral is "partial 16S ribosomal RNA". It matches the Rfam family "Bacterial small subunit ribosomal RNA", at positions 525 to 776 of the family's 1533-position model. The record is from RNAcentral.
ACGAAGGGGGCAAGCGUUGCUCGGAAUUACUGGGCGUAAAGGGCGUGUAGGCGGUUUUAUAAGUGAGGUGUGAAAUUCCUGGGCUCAACCUAGGGCGUGCACUUGAUACUAUAGAGCUAGAGUAUAAGAGAGGGCUGUGGAAUUCCCAGUGUAGAGGUGAAAUUCGUAGAUAUUGGGAAGAACACCGGUUGCGAAGGCGGCAGCCUGGCUUAUAACUGACGCUGAGGCGCGAAAGCGUGGGUAGCGAACAGG